RNAcentral lists this microRNA precursor (99 nucleotides) under Marmota monax (woodchuck). The record is from RNAcentral. Lineage: Eukaryota; Metazoa; Chordata; Mammalia; Rodentia; Sciuridae.
AGUGCAAUUGUUGUGUGGUUAAGUGUAUAUUUAGUUUUUUAAGAAACCAUCAAACUGUUUUCCAGAGUAGCUCUACCAUUUUACAUUUUCAUUAGCAAU